UUCCUCUAGAGCAGGCAUCCCCAAACUUCAGCCCUCCAGAUGUUUUGGACUACAAUUCACAUCAUCCCUGACCACUGGUCCUGUUAGCUGGGGAUCAUGGGAGUUGUAGGCCAAAACACCUGGAGGGCUGCAGGUUGGAGAUGCCUGCUCUAGAAAAA
Molecule: non-coding RNA, 158 nt
Organism: Podarcis lilfordi (Lilford's wall lizard)
Lineage: Eukaryota; Metazoa; Chordata; Lepidosauria; Squamata; Lacertidae
Source: the annotation of a GenBank genome assembly